Molecule: transfer RNA, 74 nt
Filed under: Paramuricea clavata
Lineage: Eukaryota; Metazoa; Cnidaria; Anthozoa; Malacalcyonacea; Plexauridae
Rfam family: tRNA
About the family: Transfer RNA (tRNA) molecules are approximately 80 nucleotides in length. Their secondary structure includes four short double-helical elements and three loops (D, anti-codon, and T loops).
Source: Rfam by way of RNAcentral
GCCUCUGUAGCUCAGUUGGGUAGAGCCGCUGCACUGGAAUCACAGGGCCGCAGGUUCAAUUCCUGCCAGGGACC